Molecule: unclassified non-coding RNA, 339 nt
Filed under: soil metagenome
Description: partial contains 5.8S ribosomal RNA, internal transcribed spacer 2, and large subunit ribosomal RNA
Rfam family: 5.8S ribosomal RNA (bases 1-120)
Source: RNAcentral
GAUGAAGAACGUAGUGAAAUGCGAUAAGUAGUGUGAAUUGCAGAAUUCAGUGAAUCAUCGAAUCUUUGAACGCACAUUGCGCCUUCCGGUAUUCCGGAAGGCAUGCCUGUCCGAGCGUCAUCAAAAACCACUCAAGUAGUUUUGCUUGGUUAUGAAAGAAGAGUUUGCUUGCAAAUUCCCUUUCGAAAUUCAAUGGCGGAGGGUCUCAUGAUUCCGGCGUAGUAAUAACUUAUUCGCUUGGUCAUUGUGACAAUCCUGCCUCAAACCCCCAAUUCUAGUGUUUGACCUCGGAUCAGGUAGGGAUACCCGCUGAACUUAAGCAUAUCAAUAAGCGGAGGA